CGUUUUAUCUGAAACGACAGAUUUUUAUAUAGAAAACAUGUGAAUUCCGUCGCCAGUCAUUUCCAGUUCUUCUUUGAACAAUAGAAAGUUGAUGGUUUAAAAGUUUAAUUCGUCAGUGCUGCCCCAUCACUAAAUUCUGUAAAAAUAAUAGAAUGGGUACCGAGAUAAACCCUACCCCCGAGAUAUUGUAUAUGUGAGUAUGCAGAUUAUGAAUAGGGGGCCCAAUUGAAGAUUGC
Long non-coding RNA from Arabidopsis thaliana (thale cress), 236 nucleotides. RefSeq annotates it as other RNA. Lineage: Eukaryota; Viridiplantae; Streptophyta; Magnoliopsida; Brassicales; Brassicaceae. The transcript has a single exon. The record is from RefSeq.